UACGUAGGGCGCAAGCGUUAUCCGGAAUUAUUGGGCGUAAAGAGCUCGUAGGCGGUUUGUCGCGUCUGCCGUGAAAGUCCGGGGCUCAACUCCGGAUCUGCGGUGGGUACGGGCAGACUAGAGUGAUGUAGGGGAGACUGGAAUUCCUGGUGUAGCGGUAAAAUGCGCAGAUAUCAGGAGGAACACCGGUGGCGAAGGCGGGUCUCUGGGCAGUAACUGACGCUGAGGAGCGAAAGCGUGGGGAGCGAACAGG
Molecule: ribosomal RNA, 253 nt
Filed under: uncultured bacterium
Lineage: Bacteria
Description: partial 16S ribosomal RNA
Rfam family: Bacterial small subunit ribosomal RNA
Source: RNAcentral